Molecule: long non-coding RNA, 217 nt
Filed under: Rosa chinensis
Lineage: Eukaryota; Viridiplantae; Streptophyta; Magnoliopsida; Rosales; Rosaceae
Description: sRNA RchiOBHm_Chr1g0341971
Source: RNAcentral
UUGGUUGCUUCAGCUAACCGGAAUCUUCUGUUGCUGCUUCAUGUUUGUUGGAUUUCGGUGCUUCCCGUUUCUAGGCUUUGCAGUGGUUGUUUCUUCUUUUUUCUGUCUUUGCUUUUUUUGGCAUUUGACUAUGUGAAUCAUGCGUUUGUUUUGGGCUGUGUCCCUUUGUGCUGUUGUUGCGGCCUUGUGCCUUCUUAAUUGAUUCUUCCCUUCGACC